Molecule: non-coding RNA, 29 nt
Filed under: Mus musculus (house mouse)
Lineage: Eukaryota; Metazoa; Chordata; Mammalia; Rodentia; Muridae
Source: RNAcentral
UGAGUGCUUCUUCCGUCAUAUCCCGUGGU